AGAUAAGUGGUCGAGAGGUUUAAGGCGUUAGUUUUGAAAACUAUUGUAUUUAAAUUAUAAUACCAUGGGUUCAAAUCCCAUCUUAUCUU
This 89-nucleotide transfer RNA is filed under the name Asterionella formosa. RNAcentral's name for it is "tRNA-Ser". It matches the Rfam family "tRNA". From Rfam's summary of the family: Transfer RNA (tRNA) molecules are approximately 80 nucleotides in length. Their secondary structure includes four short double-helical elements and three loops (D, anti-codon, and T loops). Further hydrogen bonds mediate the characteristic L-shaped molecular structure. tRNAs have two regions of fundamental functional importance: the anti-codon, which is responsible for specific mRNA codon recognition, and the 3' end, to which the tRNAs corresponding amino acid is attached (by aminoacyl-tRNA synthetases). tRNAs cope with the degeneracy of the genetic code in two manners: having more than one tRNA (with a specific anti-codon) for a particular amino acid; and 'wobble' base-pairing, i.e. permitting non-standard base-pairing at the 3rd anti-codon position. Lineage: Eukaryota; Bacillariophyta; Fragilariophyceae; Tabellariales; Tabellariaceae. The record is from RNAcentral.